This 497-nucleotide ribosomal RNA is filed under the name uncultured bacterium. RNAcentral's name for it is "partial 16S ribosomal RNA". It matches the Rfam family "Bacterial small subunit ribosomal RNA", at positions 28 to 507 of the family's 1533-position model. The record is from RNAcentral.
GAUGAACGCUGGCGGCGUGCCUAAUACAUGCAAGUCGAGCGAACGGACGAGAAGCUUGCUUCUCUGAUGUUAGCGGCGGACGGGUGAGUAACACGUGGAUAACCUACCUAUAAGACUGGGAUAACUUCGGGAAACCGGAGCUAAUACCGGAUGAUAUUUUGAACCGCAUGGUUCAAAAGUGAAAGACGGUCUUGCUGUCACUUAUAGAUGGAUCCGCGCUGCAUUAGCUAGUUGGUAAGGUAACGGCUUACCAAGGCAACGAUGCAUAGCCGACCUGAGAGGGUGAUCGGCCACACUGGAACUGAGACACGGUCCAGGCUCCUACGGGAGGCAGCAGUAGGGAAUCUUCCGCAAUGGGCGAAAGCCUGGCGGAGCAACGCCGCGUGAGUGAUGAAGGUCUUCGGAUCGUAAAACUCUGUUAUUAGGGAAGAACAUAUGUGUAAGUAACUGUGCACAUCUUGACGGUACCUAAUCAGAAAGCCACGGCUAACUACGUG